RNAcentral lists this long non-coding RNA (228 nucleotides) under Vicia faba (fava bean). The record is from RNAcentral. Lineage: Eukaryota; Viridiplantae; Streptophyta; Magnoliopsida; Fabales; Fabaceae.
AUGGUAGAUGGAGCAAGGAAAAGCAUCCAACCAAUCCUGUUAGGCUGUUUUGGAAAGCCAGCGGCAAGGAAGGAAAGGAAGCGAAGUAAGCAUCCAAUCCUGAUCUUUUCACUUUCGAGAUCGAAGAAUCAUAGCUAUCAGUGCAUUAGCAAAGCAGACCCAGAAAGGGAGAGUUCUUCUUUUGCAAGAAUGGGCAUUACCGCAGCUUUGACUCUGUUGCAGGUAUGA